UUUUUUCUUUGCUCUUGACACCUUCCAUCCUUUUGGAAAAAAUCCCCCUUUUUCAAGCUGUCUUGUCACUUGUCAUGAAAUGCUUAGGUUGAUCCAUGUUACAUUUCCAUCCACAGCCAUUAGCUAGUAAUUACUUGCUUCUUGAUAUGCCUUACAUCUUGGAUUGAAUUUUGCGGAAUAGGACUUAUUCCAGUCUCCCUAGGAUAUUGUCUUCUGUAUCACUGAGGAGACCUAUCUUCAUGCCAGCACAACUGAGAUCUGGAAUCUUAUCCUAGCUCCCAUACGCAUUGGAAUCCCCAGCUAGAAGUUGUGCUUACGGCAGAGAGCAUUAAUGACAGAGGAGUAGACACAGUGAGCCAAAAUGCUGGCAUAAGGGGUUGAUUUUUCAAAAAAUAUUUGUGAGCAACAAAUUGAGGGUGUUUUUGUUAAUUGUGUUGUAAACUUUCAUUUUUCCCUUUUAUAGCAUAUUUUGAUCAAGUAGAAGUGCAAUGCUAGCCUAAGGUAAAUUGGGAAUUCAGUCCUUUGGAUGCAAUUGCUUGUUGUUUUUCUUUCCAUUCCUGACGAAGAACAUUUUGAUGUCAUUAAAACACCUAGUGCCUGAUGACUGAAAUUCCAUCAUGCAGCAUAACUUAGAAAGUAUAUAUCAAACUCUUGAAAGAUGUAAUCUGCUUCUUCAGUCACCAGUGACCAAGUGUGCACCUGCAUGUGGGGAGGUAGGGGGGUUGUGUACUGAGGGAAGGAAAUCUGUUUUGUCUUCAGAAAUGUUACUAUUAGAAUGACUUACAGGUGAUAUUUUAGGUAUGGUAUCUUGCAUCUUGUAAUUCAGGAAGCCUAAAAACACAGCACAAGCAAAUUUUAAGAAGUAACAGCUUUUGUUUCAAGAAAACUUUUAGCCUAUAGUGGUACGAGCAUGGUGCAACCCAUUGCUGUGAAUGUGUAUGGAUGCCCUGUGGCUAGGGAGCUGCUGCUCCUCCAUCACCUUCCUCACUCCCUGUUUGUGAGCCCAUCUGUUGGGAAAGAUAUCUCUCAGCAUGACAUCCAACAGUGUUUUGCAAACUGGAAGGCAAGAGGGAGGCAGAGAGGGAAGAGUGAGGGUACAUCAGCAUAUGUGGACAAAGGGGUAAGUAUUUAUGGAGCUUCUGAGAACAUAUAUGAAGAUAGGGUGGGAGAAGGGCACUAAAGCAGCACAGAGCCUGGAGUGCCAUGAAGAGCUGAGAGUUUAGGAUGAAGUACCAGGCAGGAUGCACCUCCCAGGGAAAGGCUUUCAUAACUUUUUCAUCUCCAGUUUGCACAUUGGGUGGUGGUAGGGGACACCUGAGGAAUGGGAUGUGGUGUGGAAUUUAUGGAAGGUUGUUAGACUGAGAACCUGAGGUCUAAGGAAAACCAUCCUUUUAAAGAUGAGGAAAGAGGAGUGGCUCUCAUUAGCCAUGUUUUAGGCCACUGAUGAUCCCAUUGCUGCUGAGUUGGAACCACAGGAUUACCAGCUGCAUGUUUUUAAUAGAUUCAGAGUCAUCCUGGUUUCUGUUUCUGUCAUUUUGCACUGAGUGACUACAUGAAAUCCCUAUUCCCAGUCAUGUUGGAAGCCAAUUCUUGCUACCUCAAACACAAUCAGAAUUGUGUUAAGUCAGUUACCAUGCUAAGAUGUUACCAACUUGUCUUUCUCUUGCUUGUAAACUAGACAAAAAGAGAUUUGGGAGUCCUUUGUGGUGAUGUAAGAUCACUUACCUUCAGUGUCAUUAGUGAAUCUUCCUGUACUUGGAUCAGGUAUAAUGAGAAUUCUUAGUUAUACUUCUAAUUGGCAUCAUGUUCCUCUUCUUAAUCAUUUUGAUUUUUAUAAAAAGUGUAUCUAAGAUGAAAAAGCUUUUCAAACUACACAUUUGUGAAUAGCAUUUGUCUCCUUCAAACCACCAUUUGCCCCCCCACGUCCAUUCUGAGGAUGUAAAGUGAAUUUUCAGUGUUUAUGGUGUACACAUAGUAAUGUAGACUUUCAGAUUCUUUUCUCACAGAAAGACAAAGCUAUCAAAUUCCUGAUAGAGCAUUAGUAGUUCUGGAAACAAUAAAUGCACAUUUAUAAAAUCCUGAAAGAUAAUUAAUUUUUCUAGCAGAUAUUACUGGUUUAAAUUCUAAUAAUGCAAGAAACUGGUAAUGUGCAGAUGUUUAAAAUUGUAGAUUGGAUGUCCAGACCGAGGAAAGUAAAAACAUAUGCAUAUAACACAAACAGUGGGAAAAAAUUGCAUUUUAAAAAUUUAUUAUUAGUCACUGACUUCCAUACUCCAUUGGAAGAAUGUUUCUUGAACUGAAUGAGAGGUUGAAGACAGCUACUUAAACAUCCAAUUUGGGGAAAAUUUUCAACAAACAGUGUUAAUAAUAUCAAGGAGUGAAAAUUUAAUUUGCAUUAUUGAGAGUCACAUGAUUUGAGAUUUUAACAUAUAUAUAAAGAGUAUUUUAUUCCUAAGGCAAGAAAAAUAGGUAUCUUGUAUAUAUUAAAUGUCAGACCAUUAAUAUUGCUGACUACUCCUUUUUACUCAGUAAUAUACUUCAGUGAUAAGUAUAUUUGAAAAUAACUUUUUAAGAUAAAAGAUCAUACUGGAAGUGUCACUUCUAGCUUCUUUGCCAAGUAUUCUCAUGGUUGAACUAGAAAAUUUUCCUUUUUUAGUCUGCUCUCAGUGAUGUGAUAUAUAAUUACCUUACCACAGUAUAAUGUGUUCAGCUGACACCUGCUGAGCUCACCCCAUUUGCUGAGUGAAAAAUGUUGACCUGAAUCAACUCCACUGAAAGUUACCUUCUGGUUGGGAUGGAAAAUUAUGAGUACUGCUCAUCAUUGGUUACAACGAGUCAAGGAGCAGGUCAGAACUCAUUAAGCCCAUCACACUGCUGAGUCUAGUACCCUAAGUUAUCACACAGACUUAAACAGGCAGAUGGUAGAGAGCUAGCUUUUGAAAGAGCUCUAAAAUGUGUAGAUAUGCAACUUAAUCUUUGAGCUUUAGUACAGUGCUGGAUUCAGAUGUCUGUAGAUUUCUUGUAAAGAUCUUGAAUCAAACUGCAAGCACACUUCCAAGCUAGAGUGAUAACCUUAGUGAUAAUUACUGUCUAAAAGCAGAGGACAAGGUCUGGUAUGCUGGUGAAUUGGGAACUAGACCUUUUUCUGUCACUCAUUUGCUUUGCUGACUUGGCCAAACCUGCUUGAACAUCUCUGCUUCAUUUUUCUUAUUCAGAAUAUAAGAUAGAUAUAUCCUGAAAAGUGCAUUUCUGUGCUUACUUACAAUACACUUUUUGUAAAGCACUUGGAAGAUGAAAAUCUGCUCAAGAAAAACUGUGUGGCCUUGAGUCUCUUGUUCCUCCUUAAUACACUGUCAGGCACUUAAUGAGAGAGCUCUUGACUCAGCAGAAAGUGUGCCCUCAAUUCUUAAGCUUCAAGACUUUUGUAUUGCUGAAUCACAUCAGCAUAACAGUGCAAUAAAUUAUAUUGUCCAUUUCUUAGCAAGCAGAGGAGGAGGGAAUGGACUCCAGCUUACAUGAACAGUUUAAUGGUAAAACCUGAAUUAUGCUAGAGUAUCCACAUGUGCAACUGCGCGCAGUUUGGGGUCGUGUUGGUAACUUCAGAGUAGGAGCAUAAUUGCUUCUGUAUCACUUUGUUCCAUGAAUGUGAAGCUCAUGUGAAUACUGUAUUACCUGUGGCAAUGCAGACAGUGCUUCAUUAAUAAUACAAGAAUGCUCUGGGUUUUCUGGUCUUGAGGAGAGAAGGAGCAGCGUGAGUACACGGCCAAAAUUAUUUCAGCAGCGAAGAUGCUUAUUUAGGUGUGGCAAAAGACCUGCAGAAACUCACUAUUUCAGAGAGUAUCAAAAAUGCUGGACAAAGGAGAGAGCUAGCAACUGUCACACCAGCUGGAGAGCAGAAUAAGUGAAUCUGGGGCUGCUCUUCUGUCCUGUUGUGGUUGUGCAGAGCUGUAUGCCAGGACGGGCAUGUCACAGCAGGGGACACCGGGCACAUCACAGCACUGUUCUGGAAGGAGCUGUGAAAGUGCAGGCUGACAAUGAGCUUGUAGAGAUGGGGUCACAAAAUUCUGAUGCUGUGGAGAACGGUCGGCUCCUUGAAACUCAACUUCACCGACCUCAGAUGCAUCCAGAAACUAUAUCACCCUGGGAGGAAGAAUGGAGCUCAGGUAGGUGUACUCUUUUAUCACUACAUUUUUUUUCUCUUUACUUAUUCAUGGGCCCUGAAUCUACUUUUAUUUACUUACUCUUCUUCCCCCUACUUCUCAAAACACUGACAGACCUACAAAGACAGAAAACAGGAACUGCCUUUUGAAGUAGGCUGGUUUAUUUCAACAGCAUGCACUGGCAGUCAGAGAUGGAAAGAAGAUAGAAAAGACUAGGCUUCAGAUGGGGAAUUUGGAGAGGCAUCUUCUUCACAUCUGUGGAAAACUUCGCAUGAGAGGAUGAAAGGAUAACAUUUUCUCCAAAAUUUUCAAGCGCAUUAAACCAAGAUUUCUGUAAAAUGAACCAGGUUUGGGGGGUGGAAUAUAUGCUUGGAGAAACACAGAAGAACUGGAGAGGAACAGGAAUGUGGAUGAAGUCCUUAAGGAUCUCUAGAGAGGGCAAAUGUAGAUUCAGCAAAGCUUUAUGAGACAAAACAUCCAUGAGGUGUAUUCUCCUGCAGCUUAGCUGUGCAGCCCUCUAUCCUUUUGGGACUUUCCCUGUACUUGUACCUGCUGGCCAAGUGGCUGGUGUAGCAUGCCACAAUUUCUGCACAGCCCCAGAGGAAAAUCACAGUAGUGAUGAGUGUUUGUAUUCUUAUCUCAGAAUUGAGUAGAAACAAGAAGAAAUUUCACACAGUUUUCUAGCCUGAUCAUCUUUAGGAAAAAGACAUGGAAAAUCAUGACGUAUCUAUUUGUCUGCUGGUUUGCAUACCUUUAGAGGAUUCUCUCACUUCUACGUCUUAUUUUUGGACUAUUCUUGGCCAAUUUCAGAGAAAAAAUCAUAGAUUAAUAGUAAUCUCAAAGCCUAUGAAGUUGUUACAAUGUUUGGGAAGAGAGGUGACCCAGGAGGUGAUAGAUUCCAGAUAGGAAGGAGGCCUUUUAAGAGAUCCAGACCAGGAAGAUGGCUGUAGCUGAAGUUUAAACCUGUUUUUUAUGUGACAGUCCAGCGAACACAAGACAAGAAGUUGUAGGAGGAAAGUAUGAUCUGUUCUUUGUGAUACUCACAGACCAGCUUCUUAAGUGACUGUACAUCAGAGCUGUUUUCACCACUACUCAAUAAAAUUGUUAUAUAUGGUG
This is a long non-coding RNA of Catharus ustulatus (Swainson's thrush), 5276 nucleotides long. RefSeq lists it as uncharacterized. The transcript has 2 exons. The record is from RefSeq and is a predicted model, not a curated record. Lineage: Eukaryota; Metazoa; Chordata; Aves; Passeriformes; Turdidae.